GACGAACGCUGGCGGCGUGCUUAACACAUGCAAGUCGAGCGGUAAGGCCCUUUCGGGGGUACACGAGCGGCGAACGGGUGAGUAACACGUGGGUGACCUGCCUCUAGCUCUGGGAUAAGCCUGGGAAGCUGGGUCUAAUACCGGAUAUGACCUCGCGGUGCAUGUUGCGGGGUGGAAAGCCUUGUGCGGCUAGGGAUGGGCCCGCGGCCUAUCAGCUUGUUGGUGGGGUGANGGCCUACCAAGGCGACGACGGGUAGCCGGCCUGAGAGGGCGACCGGCCACACUGGGACUGAGACACGGCCCAGACUCCUACGGGAGGCAGCAGUGGGGAAUCUUGCGCAAUGGGCGAAAGCCUGACGCAGCGACGCCGCGUGAGGGAUGACGG
RNAcentral lists this ribosomal RNA (385 nucleotides) under uncultured bacterium. RNAcentral describes it as "bacterial SSU rRNA". It matches the Rfam family "Bacterial small subunit ribosomal RNA", at positions 28 to 414 of the family's 1533-position model. The record is from RNAcentral.